RNAcentral lists this ribosomal RNA (1140 nucleotides) under Triticum aestivum (bread wheat). Its description in RNAcentral is "partial small subunit ribosomal RNA". The record is from RNAcentral. Lineage: Eukaryota; Viridiplantae; Streptophyta; Magnoliopsida; Poales; Poaceae.
AUGGAACCAGCCCUUGUGGAUGAAAAACUUAUUCCUUGGGAGUUAAACAAGUUUAAGUUGAAUCCAUCACGUAAUGGUGAUGUCAUUGCUCAUUAUCAAAUCAAUAAGCCUUCAGAUCUCACUGCAACUGCUCAGUUAUCACCAAUGGCUAGGCCUCUAGUCUGUUUGCAUCUAAAAGAGUCAGAAAAUUUGCCUAAGAUAUCUAUUAUGAAUCUGAGGCAUCGGUAUAUUUUACGAGUUGAAGCUGUACAAGAAUUGCAACUGCCUGUCUUGAAGCAGAAAAAUAUUGCUGUUGUUGUGGAGCCUCAUGAUGGACCUCUCACUUGUUUUUUAGUCCGCUUGGUUCUGACCGAGAGGCGCAGUAAUGCCGUCCCAUCACAGUCUCUUAGAGAUGUUAUAAGACAAAUUGUAGAGGCUAUUGAAGAGCUCAGAAUAAAUGGAGUCUAUCAUGGCAAUCUUACAAUACAUAAUAUAUACCAUUCAAGAGUUGGUGGUGCUAUUGUAGUGAAGUUGGUUAAUUUUCAAAACAGAGAUAUCGAAUUGGAGGCUGCACAGUUGAUGGACUGGGUUGGGCUUGGUAAUAUUCUUCAUACUAUUUCAACUGCAGCAAAGUUCAGGGAUAAUACUGCCUCGUGCUCCAUAAUUGACCAUCUGGCAUCAAAAUUGAUGGCAUUAACAAGCACUAACUGUCUUCCGAGUAUAAAAAAGGAUACCCUGGAUGAUAUGUUUUUCUGGGACACCCGAAGGCGGACAAUGUUCUAUAUUCAUGAGAUCCCUAAAGCGCUGAACGAUAAUGACUUUGUUACAAGGGUGAAGAACCACGCGUGGCCACUACCAUGGGACAGUAAGCAUUUUGGACUCGUAAAGGCCAUGAACGACUACCGUGAAGAAGUUGCGGUAAGAGAUAAACACAAGGGAGUUAAUCCAGGUCCAGAAGUUCUAAAACAGUAUCAUUGCAAUGGACAAGAUCCAAUUCACAAUGUACAGUGUAUGAGCGGAGCUUACACUCACCAGGACAAAAUAGAGAAGGACAUUAAAGAUGAUAAAGACAAGCGAAUGUCGGUGGAUGUGGCUGUCCAGAAGGAGCAGCCAGAGUUGUGUCUUGCCCUACGUAGGUUGCUCGCAGGGGAAGCCUUCUAG